This 73-nucleotide transfer RNA is filed under the name Ovis aries (sheep). It matches the Rfam family "tRNA". Rfam says of the family: Transfer RNA (tRNA) molecules are approximately 80 nucleotides in length. Their secondary structure includes four short double-helical elements and three loops (D, anti-codon, and T loops). Lineage: Eukaryota; Metazoa; Chordata; Mammalia; Artiodactyla; Bovidae. The record is from Rfam by way of RNAcentral.
UCCCUGAUGGUCCAGUGGCUAAGAACUCCAUGCUCCCUAUGCAGAGGCCCUGGUUCAAUCCCUGGUCAGGGAA